GACGCACGCUGGCGGCGUGCUUAACACAUGCAAGUCGAACGGACUACUUUGCUUCGGUAAGGUGGUUAGUGGCGAACGGGUGAGUAACGCGUAGACAACCUACCUCUUAGAUGGGGACAACAUCGCGAAAGCGGUGCUAAUACCGAAUGAAGUGACUUUCCUGCAUGGGAGAGAUACUAAAGGUGGCCUCUAUUUAUAAGCUACCACUGAGAGAUGGGUCUGCGUCUGAUUAGCUGGUUGGCGGGGUAACGGCCCACCAAGGCGAUGAUCAGUAGCAGGUCUGAGAGGAUGAACGGCAACAUUGGGACUGAGACAAGGCCCAAACUCCUACGGGAGGCAGCAGUGGGGAAUCUUCCGCAAUGGACGAAAGUCUGACGGAGCAACGCCGGGUGAGUGAAGAAGGUUUUCGGAUCGUAAAGCUCUGUUGUUUGAGACGAAUGUGCCUGUUUCGAAUAGGGAUAGGUAAUGACGGUAUUAAACGAGAAAGCCACGGCUAACUACGUGCCAGCCGCCGCGGUAA
Molecule: ribosomal RNA, 520 nt
Filed under: uncultured bacterium
Lineage: Bacteria
Description: partial 16S ribosomal RNA
Rfam family: Bacterial small subunit ribosomal RNA
Source: RNAcentral